This 11588-nucleotide long non-coding RNA is filed under the name Gallus gallus (chicken). RNAcentral describes it as "lncRNA (ENSGALG00010025261.1)". Lineage: Eukaryota; Metazoa; Chordata; Aves; Galliformes; Phasianidae. The record is from RNAcentral.
AAUUAAUUCUACCACGCUUCUGAUGGUGUACUGACACUGUACCUGAUACAACCGUACAGGUACGAUGCAGCCACUGUUUGUACCACACUACAGUGGCAUAAAGCUCAAACAUCACAGAGCAGCAUCUGGUGUGCUGUGAAAGUGAUGUUGAAAUUGCUUCUGGGUGGUUUUUUUUCAGUUUCAUGUUUGUUACUCACUGAGAGGUGCUACGGGACAAAACCAAUUUGCACUUGUCCGGGCAGAGUGUUUAAGUGUGAACCUUCAUCUAGAAACACACACUCGCACACAGGAAGGGGGAUGCUGUAAGAGCAGUGCAGCCAAUUUCUUUUGUUGCUCACAACCACAUUUUCCUCCUCUGUUGUCCAGAUUUGCUUUCCCGUGUGUUUCCAAGUGAGCAUCUUAGCCAACGUGAUCACACAUUAUUAAACAUCUGGCACAUUCACCAUGAAGUGAAGUAACGGUGUCCAAUGGAGAGCCUCGGAACGGGGGGAGCAGGGUUCAUCCUGCGGGUGCCAGGCACAUCCCAGCUCAUGUUCUCAGCCUCAUUGUUCUGCAGUGAGAGAGCCCAGGAGGGCCUUCCCUGUUCUGUGCGGGAUUGCUCUCAGCAAAACAGUGAGCAGAAGAUGCGGUAUGGGUUUUGACUUGUUCUCCAGUGAGAGCAGUUCUCUCACAUUCUUUGCCUUGUUGGCUGGGCAAGUGGCCCAAUGGUACCUAUCCUCCAGCAGGAGUGCUGCGUUUGGUGUCUGUUUCUUGCUGAUCUUGGAAAGCAAAAUAUGGAAAUUGUACAUCAGAUAAAUAGACAACGUGAGCCCCACUGCCUUAGAAAAAUGGGAUGGAAGUUAGCUAUUUUCUUAGUAGGCUAUUGCUCUUUCAUCACGUCCCUCUUGCUCCAGCCCCGGAUUGAAGUUUUCUGUUUGAUAUUCAUCUCAUGCUGGGACUUGAGGCAUCAACCUGUACUGCCCAGAAGAGGUUUCCUUGCUCCUCACAAGGAGCCUUUGUCCCCCCUGAGAUCAAUCAGAACAUUUUCCCCAUUCCUCUAUGCUCAGCAGAUGGGGCUGCUCGUGCUCCCUCCCCUCUCCCCUACCAUUGCCAUGCACCACAUCCAGGAACUGUUGUUCUAACUCUCCUCCUUCCCUAAGUAAAAUAUACUCGAUUGGGAAGAGGUAGAGGAACAGGGAAAUAGCUGGGUUUAUUUUAAUAGUUUCCACUCUCUGUUCAGUUUUAUAGUACAGUAUAUUUAACUUUAACGUAUGGACAGCUGGAUGCAUUUAACAGCACAAUGGAAAGAAUUUAGCAAGUGUACAUUACAGCCGUGUGUUUGGAGCUGAUCACCACGUAUUUCUCCGUAAUAUUUAGAUGUGCUUGUUCUAGAUUGUGUUGGGCUGAUCAAAAUAUGUUUGUGUCAGGUAAGAUUUGUCAUAGAUGAGCCUCUUUAUUUCUUUACUUACUAAAACUCUUCCUAAAGGAAGAGGCUCGGUUUAGCUGAUAUCAGCAAGUUCAGCCUGACGCUUAAGAUAGGGUUACUUGCCUUCUCUGCAGAAGCUGAAAAAAAGCCAUAAAUACACAGAAACUUAGGAGCAUAUUCUGAGCACAGGCUGUGGGCCCAUUACUCCUCUUGUGUCACCUUCACUGGCAAACCACUUGGGGAGCAGAGCAUCACCAAAGGAUCAGAAUCCAACCAAUGCACUGUAACGAUGGGAAACGGCUGCAGCAGGACACAGAGCUGUAAAUCCUUCACCUCCACCAUCAGCCCCGCAGCCCGCUCUGCACUGCUGACUGGUGCACCCUCCCCAUGGCAUGAGGGAAGUUAUUGCUGUGACAGCAAGCGAAGCAGGGCAGCAGCCUUCUCUUUUCCUCAAAAAAAUAAAAAAAAUAAUAAAAAAGGAGAAAAUUCUGCAAUAUUUCAAAUCUUUAACCACUUCUAUGCCAUUCAGGUGCCUGAAUGAUGUGAUUUUUCUCAAGCUGAUCUUCUUGUCACUAUUUGGUUACUCAGUGCCUACGGCAGCAAUGCAAACAGAAGGCAGAUCAGCCAGGCCCACUUGCUAGCACACUUGGCCAGCUUUCCUUCCGUCGCUGGAAAAUAUUAAUGAUUGCAUCUCAAAGUAGAUUUGUUUUUUAAUUUCUUCCCUGUGUAUUUCCCUGCUACUGCAAGACAAAUACUGACAAAAUGUAGGGGUUUGUAUUUAAAAGGUGCUCUUAUAAAAAAUGCCGAAGAGAUGUCAGAGCCGAAGGAACAGCAAUACUUCUGAUUUGGAGAGAUUCCAACACGUAACACGGCUCAAUCGCACAUUCCAGGCUGUGAGAGAGAUUCAGUUAUUUGGGAAAUUACAACCAUUUUAGUUUGGUUUGGAGAGAUACGUUACUUUGCCUCUAAGCAUUGGGGGGAGGGAGGAAAGAAGGAGAAAGAUGCUCAAGGAGGAAAGAAAACACCUUUGAAAGAAAGACCAAAUUGUUGGAAACCUCUGAAGUGCUCACAUUAAUGUCAUGUCAUUACACCGUAUUGCUGCACAGGUUAAUAUAAUUGGGUUACUGUGUGUGAGCAAUGAUCCAUAGCAUGUUAUGGCACUGAAACAAAUGACAUUUAACCAAGAGAUUUGUAAGGCACCUUGUUAUCUGCAUGCUGAGCAAUUGCAGCAGAGAUUCAGAUUGCUAGACGAGGGACUGACAAAUUAGUUGUUGGGUUUACUGGACAGCCUGGAUUUAUAACCACGCAAUUCCCACAUAAUUUAUUAGAUCCAUAAACAGACAUAUCCAGUGUUUUUACUUAGAUUACGCUUCUGUCACUGCCUGUGAUCCUGUCCGGUUGCAGUGGUGCUGCAGGCUGGUUGUGUUCUUCAUACAGCAGUCCUCAGCUGGGGGCAAGGUGAGCUGACACCAAUAAGCUGCAGCUUUCUAGCAACAGAAGCAUCUAAACUCCAGUAUUGAAAGAAAUAAUCUGUAAAUGCACGGGGCCCCAGCUCCCAACCUUAGGCUCUCCAAGAAAGGAAGGAAGAAAAUGGAAGAGAUCCAGGGGAAAUAAAGGCACAGGUGGUCAUGGUGAUCUGAUCCUGCCUCAGACUCUAGGAGAAUGAAACAUCCCCAUUCCGUUCCCUCUCUUCGGGGCUGGGCUAGAGAGCAAACAGCUCGGCAUGGCCCCAGCUGUAGGACAGAGUUGCAUCCAUCCUGGAAGGACUUUCUUUAAAAUGCCCUCUGGAAAAAAAGCCAACACAUCUUCCCUGGGCAGGUUAUUCCAAGCCUAUGACUUGUACCAUUUCCCCAGUACCCAUCUGCUAUGAUUUAGAUCAAUGAUUUCUUUGGGGGACAAAGGAAUAAAGAAAAGAAGUGCUUAUCUCCCUCCCUAUGGACCCUCUAUCAGAUUAAAGCAGAGCUAUGUGGUGUCACCACCAUGUGCCCUUGGCUGCUCUCCCACACCUUGCCUCUGGGACUUUGCUCUUCCCACCUUGUAGAAAUCCAAAUCCUUGCCCUUUUUAUGAAGCUCUUUUUCAGCCUUUCAGCCAUUCAUUCCCCACUCAGCCACACACUGCUGGCAGUAGUGGUGCCCAGGGCUGACUCUGAGCUGCCCUGACCCUCAGGAGGUCGCCUGAGGGGAACAAAUGUGUCCUUCUGGUUUUUCCAUUCGAGGAAAUGAGGAAAUGAUGAAAUGUUGCCUGUGUUCAGAGCCUUGGCUCACACCAACAUUUUUAUGAGGUGACAAAAUGAUCACCUUUGGGCUCGCGGCUGCUGACUUAGGCCAAAACUACAGGUCCAAGACUACCACCCAGGAGAGUAUUCUUGCUCCAAAUCCAGCUGGCAUCUUGGGAUCAGUUGCUCACUUUCCAGGUUAGAGACCCGUUUUGUUUGGGCUAGAUAAAUGCUGGAGAGAUGCCCAAGUUUUUUGGAUGUCUCCCCACAGCAAAUCCAAACUCCACUUCUUUUGGAAGUUUGCCUCUCUCUGGUUAGGAUUUGAAAAACUCCUCUCAAAGGUUGAUUGAGUUCAAAAUAACGUGGGGUAACUUGUGAGACUGACUCCAAGCUUCAAGUGUAAGCUUGUAGAGCCUUUGCAUUAGGUAAUGAAGGCAAGAGAGGAGCCCAAACUCGAUCAAAGUGCUGGGAAGCCAUGAGCUGUGCAGGAGUUUGAAAUCCCAAGAUGGGAAGUGAAGCCCAGUGAGCUGCAAGCACAUGGGCUGAGCCAUGCUGCUGCCAUUUGAAGGGCCCAGGGCUGAGUUGGUAAUUCAGAACCUGAGCAAAUUUGAUGGAAAGCUUUGACAUCAUGGGCAUGGUUGGAUGUUAGGAAACAUUUCUUCUCUGAAAGAGUGGUGCUACAGUGGCACAGCCACCCAUGGAGGUGGUGGGGUCACCGUCCCUGGAGGUGUUCCAGACCAGUGGAGAUGUGGCACUGAAGGACGUGGUCAGUGGGCAUGGUGGGAUGGGUUGGGGUUGGACUUGAGGAUCUUAGAGGUCUUUUUCAAUCUUAAUGAUUCUGUAUUUCUAUGAACCCCACCUGGAGAUUGCUCCCACUCUUUGCAAAGCCACUGAGUUCUCCUGAAGGGCCAACACUACUGGGGAAAGGAGGUUGUGUUGUAAUGGCUGAUGGAGAUUAUGCUCCUGGAGAGAAGCACAGUGCAAAAGAUAAAGCAGCGUGCUGUCCACUGUGGAAAUGUGCCCUUUUCUCUGUGAAGAAAAAGAGAUUUUUCAAAGGGGAUGCUAUAUUUUAUUCCUGCAUUAAAUAGAAGACCACAUAAAAAGGUUUCUGUUAAAUAUUAACCAGAAAGUAGAAAGACAGUGAGAGUUCCCUUUCCUUCUCUGCUUCUUGUAGGGACCGCUGACCACCAAGAAAUUAAUCUGCUGAGUGUUAAUUGACACUUUGAUCUCUCAGUUGUUAUUUUGGGUUGCAGGAAAGGCUGAUAAUGAACCCAAAAUUGUUGAAUGAAGACAAUAGCAGUGCCUAUGCCAAAGCCUGAAGUGGGCUUGUUGCUGCCAUGGCCCGGCAUUAUGCUGGAACCACGAUCAGGCAUCAUUUCUCUGAGGCACGCAAAGGUGGACAUCUUGGAUGAAGAUUCUUCUUAAACUAUAAGCUGGAGAUAAACAUUUGGGGGAAAAAUCCUGGGCAAUGAGUCAGUGAACAUAGCGGUGAGUGUCUGCAGAAAGCUGGCCAGCUCCUUCCAUUAAGGAGCCAGUCUUUGGCUAGCUCUCCAAAGGAGGCUCAGUGACUGUGUACAUUAAAAAUGCUAUCACCAUUAUGGUCUGUUCACUAAAGGUACAAGAGCAUGACAAAUAUAUGUAAUUUGCAAAUUGGCUGGUCUUUUGCAAUAAUUUAGAGACACUAGUUAGAGGCAAUAGAAAUCUAACAAUUACUGAUGUUUAAGGUUUGCAUUGUUGCUCUGUGAAUAUUUCAUGCAUAAAUGAACUUCCCCUGGACCAACUGCUGUUUCUGAUGAGGCGCUCUGAGGCUUUAUUGCCAAAUACACAGCAGGGCUCCCCCAAUGAGCCACAUAACAGAUGAUGCAUCGUCUUCACGGCUUAAAUAAUGCAGAGUAUCUGCAUUCUGUAGAGCGGUGGUACCGUUUAUUUACAUAUCAAUGGAGUGGCCAGAGCGAAUAUGAAGAAAUAUGUGAAGGAAAGGACAUAGCACUUUUAAUAUUUCAUAUUCACCCUGCAGGAAGAGCCUCGGCCGGCUGGGUGUGAGUCAGAGUGCCUGGUCUGUGUGUGCAUGUGUCUCCUUAACAAAACCUCUUGCACACCUGAUGAAACGCACGCUUUCUUGCAUGCCUGUGAACUUUUUCAGAGCUAGUGAAAACAAAAGGGGUGUUCUGCCAAUCAGAGGUCGGAUCUCCAAGUGCUGUUUGUUAGGAAGAGAAACAAACCCACCCUCAGGUCUCCUCCUGUUCCGUCUGGGGCUGAUGGGAGAUGUAGUCUCGCUCUGCGCGGCACCGAAGAGGAUUUCUGCUGCAGCUAUUGGGGCUGCAAUGAAGCCCAGAGCCCACGGGAAAAGCAUCACCCAAAGCAAAGAACUAUCGCAACAGCUGGUGAUGCAUACCCCAGUUUGGGUUCAUGAAAGGGGAAAACGAUUGGCAAAAGUAGGACUUUCACAUCGCUGUGCACAUAGGACUGGGAGCUCCGGGUCCUCUCUCCAGAGUUAUGCAGUAUUCGGGCAUGACCCACUCAUGGAAUGCCCCUUCCUGGCAUAUGGAUGCACCUCAGAGCUCUGCCCGGAAGCAAAGGGCACUGCUCCAAGUGCUGGCUGCCAUCACGCCCCCCCCCCCCACCCAGAGCAAAGAUUUCCAGCCUCCACACAUCAGCACUGAGAUCAGAUGAGUAAAACAGCAACCUGCUCCCUUGCUGGAAUUAGUCACUCCAUGGAGAGAUGGACACGAUGGGGUGCAGGUAUAGGUGGUCCACCUGCAGGACUGGGGAUGUGCUCCUGCCAGCAACCCCCACCUCCUGCCCUGCCCAGCAUCUCCCUGCGUUAACCCACACGUGAAGGAGAACUGAUGCGCUCCAGCCCUUUCUUGUACGAUCCCAUUAAAAUUCCAAUGCAAAUGACCAGAUUCAUAAUCCGAGCUUCAUUGGGAAACACAGUUUCCUGCUUUCCCCUGUAAUGAAAUUAUUGGCUGUGCAGAUGCUCCAUUUCUGAGCUAAUUCAAUCUCCGACUGUUUCUUUUCGGAGCGUAUGUGUGAGGGCAGGGCUGUGCGGGGCAGGGCCGGCUGUGUGCACACCCCACAUCUGCACUGCACGCUCCCCAUGCACAGAUAGCCAAUUAUAAGUGUAAAUGCGAUGGGAAUACGAGCGGUGUAUUCGCUAGGCGUGAUUGAAAGUAAACUGGGAAAGCUAAAAGCAGCUUAGUCGCCAGAAUGUAAUACACUGCAGGGGCAAGUUGUGAAAAUGCCUGAUUAUUCUCUUUUGCUCGCUGCAUCCCUGGGGGAUCUCCCUGAACUGCUCCUUUAACUGCUCAACUUGCCUGUUCCACAGUGAUAGUCAGCAGAUGAAGCCCUUCACAUUUAAGUGUAAUAGUGCCAGAGAGACCAACUGCUCCUCAGAGUUACGACCUAUAAAUGUCGCUUCUGUGUCAGAAUGAGGAUGUGGCACUGAAGAUGCUGAAGUCUGCAGAGGGUUUGCUUGGCAAUUCAUGCAGGCCAUUAAGCUCACUCCUCCCCUCGUCCCCCCAGCGUUGUGUACACUGGGAUUUCUUGCUUGCUUUCACAGCUUGCCGAGUGCUUCUUCCAAAGCUGGCAAUAACCAAGCAGUACAUCUCCAGGACAGGAUGCUCUUCUUGUCACUGCCGUGGCAAAUGGGAGCUCUGCGAUGGGGUGCCUGUGUUCACCUGCACCCUGCGGGCGGGGAAGGAGGGUGGCACAGGACGUGGUGUCUUGCCCAGGGAGGUGGCUAUGAGCCAGGUGCAGUGCUGCCAGAUGUUUGUGGCCAAGGGAACAACCACAUCAGGGGCAUCUUCCAUCUCUCUGCCUUGGUCAGGACUUGAUCACUGCUCACAGCAAGAAGAAUGAUAACUGAGGGUGGUGGUGGUGGUACUUCUUGGCUCCUUGUAGCUGGAAACCCAAAUAAUCAAUCACUGCCGUAAGCAACUUCUCAGAAGAAAUGCAGCAUUUACACCACAGCCACACCUAGCCCGGCACCCAGCUUUGCUUAGGCACAAGAUAGAGAUCUCAGAUAUGUAGUUUUUCCAUUUGUGGAUGGCUUUGGGACUCAGUACAGCAAGCACAGCUCCGGGAGGGAUUGCAGCAGUCACCCAGGCUGGCAUCAGCCUCUCCAAACUCCAUCACCCCACGCGUGGGGCUCUGCACGGCUGAGCAAGCAGCUGAUCCUGCAGCCACCUGACUGCAGCCACUGGUUGGAGCGGGGCUGGGAUGGGGGGGGCAGAGCUGAGGAUCCUUUUGAGGCCACCACCUGGGACUGGCGGCACUUCUACUAAUGCACAGUGAGCAGCUAAAUCAUACAUUAUUGAUUUGUCAGACGUAUUUGCAUAUAAAUAAGCAUGAUCAUUCAUACAAACCUUAAUGUUGUUGUUCUCCCUUUAGUGUUGUGAUCACAGAUGAAUGACUCUAGUUAGACACAAUUCAGGAGCGCUUGUACCACCGCAGCAAAGUAAGCUGCUGAUUUAAAACUACAUUUAUUGGAGCAUGUAAGUGUGACAGUCUAUUGGUGAAUUUGGGGAUAAUUAGUCUAAAAGACAAGAUAAAUGAAUCCUGAAAGUGGUAUUGUGAUGAAGAAAUGAUCCCUCCAUGCUAGUAAAGCUUUGAUGCCAGAAAUAUUGUAAAUGAUAAUUAACUGGGAAACACAGAGGAAUUAUAUUUCGGUUGUGUUUUCAAAAAGACUUAGGGUUUUACAGACAAAUUGAUUGGGUUCUCCCCCUCCCCCAGCCCUGUGAUUAUGAAAGAUCGUCUAAUUUACAACUUGAACUGUGAAGCGUAUGACAAAUCACUGGCUUGCUUUUAUGCCUCUUGUUUGUAGAUCCUCUCUGGUAGAUAUCCGCUUAUUGUUUUUAAGCAAACCAAGACGUGUGUUUUUCAAUUAGUCUUUCCCCAGGCCUGAUCUAGACAGAUCUGCAGGCCAGCACAACACGCUGACCCAUGACAAUUAUAUCUGCUGUAUUAAUUCAUUAAGCAUCACAGGAUCAAGCUGUAAGAUCUCGCUCCCUGAUAACAGCAGCAGCAUGAGCCGGGUUAGUCUGCAUCCCUGCCCCGAAAAGAAAAUAAUAUAGAUUGUGCAAUGCAGGGGAAACAUUGCUUGCUAACACUUCAUUUUAAUUGUCCUAAAUUAGAGCUGAAGACUUACAGAACUGUGCGUGACAACCAAUGAAUACCAAAUGAAUUCAUUAGGAUCAGCGCUGUUACAAUGAAUAACUAACAAAUCUAUAACGGCGUCUGUACCCUUUGUGCCUCACUGCCGGCUGCAGGACCCAUCCUGGCAUGGACUGCCUGCAGGGCUCACUUGCACGCUUGGGGUGCAUGGUCACAGUGACACAGCCUGAGCCACCCUGUGCCUCCUCCCGAGGGGUGGACCCAUCUCACUGGUACCAUUGAGCCAACAAGAGCCAACCAGCCAUUGGUGUGCCUGGAGCAGCCCAGGCUGUUGCAGAGGCUGUGAGGGUCCUGGGGAUUUGGGGGAGGUGAUGGGGGAUAAAAAGGAGAAGCAGCUUUGUCUGAAGGAAUCUUUGCCAUGUAAUUUUCCUGUAGGAGACACCAUAACUUGCAUAUCUCCACCAGGCUGAGACAGCAAAUGAAGGGGAGAAAUGAGGGUUUUAGGAUUUAGAUAGGCAGAGGGGGUUUUUUUUUGUGUGUGUUUUUUUUCCAAAGCUGAGGGUCUUUUUUGGGGGGAGGUUGGAGGGGUGAAUACUGAAUGUGGAAAUAGAAAAGACAAUGGCUGCAGCUGUGUGGGGUCAGGGAGCCUUGUGGCACGGGGACAUCCCACGCACCCUCCUGGAGCACCCCGGGGUGCACCGAAGCAGGAUUGGGUUCCUCCUGCCAGGAUAAGGCCCGUGCUGCCAUAAUGGGUAUCUGCUGAUGGGAUGUUCAGAGGGCCGCAUGCAGAGCCGGGAGAACACCCUGCUCAGCACCAACACUGUUAGCUCCUCCAUGAUGCUGAAUUCUACUUCCCCUGCUAAAGUCUCCCAUUGUUCCUAGCGUGUAAAGAAGGAGGGAAUAUUUCUGAUUUCCAAGAAGCCCAGAAAUGUGCACGAGCUCUCAAACUGUGGCAUUUGUUGCUUUCAGAAAGGGAUGCCCCACUCAGUGGGGAGCUCACCACCUCUUAGUGCUGCUGUGUUGGGGGUCGGCAGUGAAGCUUUGCCUUUCUGCCCCAGCCCCAAACAGUGGUCACUGGCCUCAAAAGGAAUUCAUUCUGAAUGCCAGCUCCAGCCCUUAACUUCCACAUAUCUCCAAAAGUACCACCAGUGAAGAAACGCUUUGGAGUGGAGCAGCAUAGACAGCAAGGGGUGAUUGCUUCUCAGCUUCCUUGCAGCAAAGCUGUCCAAGCGAAAGCGUCUUGGUCAACAUUCUCAAGACACGUUGAGCUUUUUGAACAGAACGCUUGGGUUUAGCACAAAAAAAAGAAAAACCAAAACCCAGUCUUGCUCUGUAGGAGUCUAUGGGAAGGCUGAGGAAGGGAUGCCAGUGUGGAGAUGAAGACAGCCAGGAAAGUGGGUCCAGGUGGUAAUUUUCUCUCAAACGUUUUCCUGGGCUGCAUUGCAGGAGCCGGGCCCUGCCCUGCUGAUGUGCUUUUGGGAAAUGUGGUUCAUCCUGGAUAAAGAAAGUAGAAGUGGGAGCCUCUCUGGUGUGCAGCCUCCGCCUCCAUGCAGGCUGUUUGCAAACUCUCCCCAUGCUUAUCAUCAUGUAAUUGAAAUAAUGCGUAUUGACAGAGACUUGAAAACAACUGCUCAAUUUUCCUCAAAAUUCAAUUAAACUUCGUUUAUUCUGGGGAUCGAUCCAAUUAAAAGGGGGGAAAUUUCAGAUGGUCUGAGCCUUACAAUCCAUCUUAACACACUGUGUCUAUCACCGUGAUGUAAUAAUUCCCCCAAUCAAUGCUUUAAAAGCAUUUAGCAGUCUUGAUAAUUAACUUUUGUCAAAAUAGCCUUACAAAGCAAUAAAUGAGAGCAGAUUAAUAUGUAGUCAUAAAGCUAUGAAUGGUUUAACGCUUUGAAAGGGUUGCUUCAUAAAUUUGACUUUUCUUUAUUUAUUUCUCUACCAUAAUCUCUCCCUGCAAUGCUAUCGCUCAUGGUUUUGGUAAAUGAGAAUAACCUGGGCCAUUGGGGUGAGCUCUGAAUGGGGUGAUAUAGAGUCAUAGAGUCAUAGAAUCAUGAAGGUUGGAAAAGACCUCUAAGAUCACCAAGUCCACCCCACCGUGCCCACUGCCCACGUCCCUCAGUGCCACAUCUCCAUGGUUCUUGAGCCCCUCCAGGGAUGGUGACCCCACCACCUCCCUGGGCAGCUGUGCCAGUGGUGCAUCACUGCUCUUUCAGAGAAGGAAUGCUUCCUAAUAUCCAAUCUGUACGUCCCCCGGCACAACUUAAAGCCAUCACCUCUCUUAGAGCUGCAGUAAUACCACUUCCCCCUAUGGAAAUGACCCCAUUAUGCAGCUUCAGAACUACCAGAAAUGUCCACAGGGCCUUUCACAACCGCAGGGUUGGGAAACACACUCUGUUCUGCCUCCACAGAGGGAUUGUGCAAUGGCUCCUAAUUGGGGCACUUCUCUAGGAAGUGCCCAGUUUAAGUGUUUGUCUUCCCCGUGACUGAUUUAAGACAUUAAAUCUCCCAAAUACCACUGCGGUUUCAGGCUGAUCCCAGCAACUCCCACCCCGCUUUGUAACAUCUGUGCAUACCAUACAUUGCUAUUCUUAGAUAGAAUUAGUGCCUGAAUAGUUUUCUUCCUGCACAUAACUGUGUUUAGAAGAUGCAUCCAUCCCCCCAGCCUGCUCUUUUCACUACUUACCUAAAGAGUCAAAACUGGCCUGGACCUGGCUUAGCAAUGGGAACCUUUCCUCUUUCCCGAGCUGUGAAAGACAAGAGCAGGAGAAAAGCUUCUGCCCAAAAAGAGGUCCAGAUCUGCUUGUGCAGAAGUGCACACUUUUGGUUUAAAAUUAACAGGUUCCCUGGCUAAA